UUUGAACGCUGGCGGCAUGGCUAAAACAUGCAAGUCGAACGCGAAAGAGGAGCAAUCCUCGAGUAGAGUGGCGAAAGGGUGAGUAAUACGUUCCUACGUGCCUUGAGGUCAGGGAUAGCCAGGGGAAACUCUGGGUAAUACCUGAUGUGGUCUCCGGAUCAAAGGCUUGCCGCCUCGAGAGCGGGGAACGUCCUAUCAGCUAGUUGGUGAGGUAAUGGCUCACCAAGGCGAAGACGGGUAGCGGGUGUGAGAGCACGGCCCGCCACAUCGGAACUGAGACACUGUCCGGACUCCUACGGGAGGCUGCAGUAACGAAUCUUCUGCAAUGCGCGAAAGCGUGACGGAGCGAUGCCGCGUGCAGGAUGAAGCCCUUCGGGGUGUAAACUGCUGUCAGGGAUUAGCAACACAAUGAGCAGUCCCAAAGGAAGAGACGACUAACUCUGUGCCAGCAGUCGCGGUAAUACAGAGGUCUCGAGCGUU
This 480-nucleotide ribosomal RNA is filed under the name uncultured bacterium. Its description in RNAcentral is "bacterial SSU rRNA". It matches the Rfam family "Bacterial small subunit ribosomal RNA", at positions 30 to 542 of the family's 1533-position model. The record is from RNAcentral.